This is a long non-coding RNA of Carya illinoinensis, 834 nucleotides long. RefSeq lists it as uncharacterized. NCBI's taxonomy places the organism in Eukaryota, Viridiplantae, Streptophyta, Magnoliopsida, Fagales, Juglandaceae. The record is from RefSeq and is a predicted model, not a curated record. The transcript is spliced from 2 exons.
UUUGCAUUAAAAGAAAAUGAAAUGAGGUUGACUUUUAAAAAUAUGCAUGUUUGUUUUUGAAAAGAAAUCAGAAAAAGAAUUUCAAUUAUUUGUUCUGAAAUUACUCAUGAACUUUUUAUGAAAGAGAAAAUAUUUUUGUUAUGAAUGGUGUAAACAUGAGCUUAUUUUUGCAUAUUGUUUCUGAACUUUGUAAAAAGAGCAAAAAUGAGAUUUUUAAAGUUUUGUUAUGGUUAAGACAAAGAUAAUUUGACUUAGUUUUAUUGAAUAUAUGAAAUGAUUUGAAGCUACUUAGUAUUCUGUUUUGAUAUGAUAUGUAAGCUAAAAAACUUUGGCAUGAGUUUCUGAUUUUGCAUUUGAAUAUGAUUUGUGUCCGAUGAUAUUUUUGUCCAAAUUCUGUUGAGGCACCGCCAUGGGUAUAAUAGUGGCAUACAGCCCCACUAUGGGUAUAAUAGUGGCAUACAGCUUCACCACCAGUAUAAUGUGGCAUAAUCCUACCACGAGGGUGAAACAUGGAAUAUGGCCUAGCCAGAGAUAUAAUGGUGGUUAUAACCCUAUCACGUGGGUGAAACAUGGUAUACAGCCCAAUCACGGGUAUAAUGGUGGUUUAUAACCCUACCACAGGGGUUAAUCAAGAUGACUUUGAUGAUAUAGCUGAAGAGUAAUAGAGUAUGUGGCAAGAAUAGUUAAGGGUAGUGGUUGAGCACCUUGGGUAUGACUGUUGUUGGAAGAUUUAUUUAUUAAGUAAUUUGGUUUUAGUAUGUUCAGAUGAUUAUGAAGACUUAUGUAUUAUUUCUAUUCAUUUUGUUAAUAGAAACAUGUGGAGUAGUUGUUUUA